GGACUUCCUUGGUGGUAAAGUGGUAAAGAAUCUGCCUUCCAAUACAGGGGAUGCGGGUUCGAUCCCUGGUCGGGGAACUAAGAUCCCACAUGCUGCGGGGCAACUAAGGCUGCACGCCACAACUAUCGAGCUUGCGUGCCUCAACUAGAGAGCCCGUGCGCUGCAAACUACAGAGGCCCUGCACUCUGGAGCCUGAGCGCCACAAGUAGAGAAAACCCGCACACCACAACUAGAGAGAAGCCCAAGCACCACAACGAAGAGACCGCGGGCACCGUAACAAAAAGAUCCCACAUGCCUCAACAAAGAUCCCGUGUGCUGCAACUGAGACCUGACGCAGCCAAAAAAAAAAAAAGGAAAAUUAAAUAAAUAAAUAUGAAAUUUAAAAAAAGAAGAACAAGUGGUGGAAGGACCACUGCCAGCACAGCUGGAACAGCACUUGGAGUUCCCCUACUCUGUCCCUUCUGUCCCUUCACUCUAGGCACUCCUCUUGGGGUCCACUGAGAAGGGGGAAGCAGGAAGAAGACUCUGGCUGACAAACCAUGCCUGGCUCCAGACUUCUCAGAGUGAAGAGCUCUAGACUAGCACCUACCUUUGGCCAAAUUAUGAAGGUAGUCGGGCUGCCUACAGGAGCCCAGGCCUCUCUGCUGUCUGGGUUCUCCCUCUGUGGGCGUGUCCCCUUUCCUGUCUCCCUUAAACCCAUUCCCUUGAAUGAUUCUGAUUGUGGGUUAUCCCGCUGAGGACAAGGUUCUCUCCAGAUGGGCUUCCUCUCCCCUGGGGCCUUUAUACUUUAUGCUGGACCUUCUUGCCUGGGGCGAAAGUCUCUGCGUCCUGAGAAAGGAACACUCAGCAGCAGCUGGUGAUGCUGGUCAUCUGGUGAUGGCAGACUCUCCCUAGAGAGGACCUGUGAGUCCCCUGGGGAGAGCCAGGCUGGCUUUGGAGACAAGUUGUAGGAUCCACUGUGGAUAACUUUCAUUUGUUUUUUUGUUUGUUUGUUUGAAGUGUAGUUGAUUUACAAUAUUGUGUUAGUUUCAGGUGUACAGCACAGUGAUUCAGUAUUUCUGCAGAUUAUAUUCCAUUACAGGUUAUUACAAGAGAAUGGGUGUAAUUCCCUGUGCUCUACAGUAAAUCCUUUUUGCUUAGCUAUUUCAUAUAUAGUAGUUUGUUAAUCCCGUACCCCUAAUUUGUCCCUCCCCCCCUUCCCUCUCCCUGUUGGUAAGCACAAGUUUGUUUUCUAUGUGAAUCUGUUUCUGUUUUGUAUAUAGAUUCAUUUGUAUUCUUUCUUAGAUUGCACGUAUGAGUGAUAUCAUUUAGUAUUUGUCUUUCUCUGUCUGACUUCACUAAGCACAAUAUUGUUGUGGAUAUCUGUGAACUGCUUCUGCCCAGCAUUCAACGCCCACCUUUCUGGUGAUAGCACAAUUUUGCCUUAGUAAUUGACCUGUCUUUCAUUUGAUACAGUUUUGGUGGGACUGGCCAUCAAGGGACCUCAUCGUCCCUGGCCAGGGGAUGGGCCGUGCCGCCCAAGUUAGGCCAAUCAGAUACUCUCUCCUAGGAAAAGAGAGCAGAUGAUACAAAGACAGAAAAUAUUUGGGGCCAGUUCAUGCUAGUUCUGGUGACUACCCACUGGUGUCUGCUUCCCAGAUUCCUGGAACUGCCCUCCUGCCUAUCCUCCUGGCUUCAGCUUUUCCUUGAGUUCUCUGUUGCCUCACAUCUUCCAAUAAAAUUCUUCCUGGGUAAGUUACCCAGAGUCAAUUUCUGUUGCUUACCACCUAAGACCCCAGGUAAUAUGGCACCCAUGCCACCUAGGUCUUUCAAGCCCCAUUUCCUCCGCUGACAAUGGUUCAGGCUUCUCAGUUUGUGUGCAUAUGUGUGGUCCUGCUGCGUUUUAUUUAUGCUGUGGAUGGGGUAUAGGCAGUGGCUGA
Molecule: long non-coding RNA, 1919 nt
Organism: Physeter macrocephalus (sperm whale)
Lineage: Eukaryota; Metazoa; Chordata; Mammalia; Artiodactyla; Physeteridae
Exons: 3
Source: RefSeq, a predicted model, not a curated record